Molecule: ribosomal RNA, 477 nt
Filed under: Candidatus Scalindua brodae
Lineage: Bacteria; Pseudomonadati; Planctomycetota; Candidatus Brocadiia; Candidatus Brocadiales; Candidatus Scalinduaceae
Also listed under: 1 other name
Description: bacterial SSU rRNA
Rfam family: Bacterial small subunit ribosomal RNA
Source: RNAcentral
UUCGCAAUGCCCGAAAGGGUGACGAAGCGACGCCGCGUGGGUGAAGAAGGCCUUCGGGUUGUAAAACCCUGUCAGGAGUUAAGAAGUGCAAGCUCGAUAAUACCGGGUUUGUUUGACAAAGGCUCCAAAGGAAGCCACGGCUAACUCUGUGCCAGCAGCCGCGGUAAUACAGAGGUGGCGAGCGUUGUUCGGAAUUACUGGGCGUAAAGAGCACGUAGGUGGAUUUGUAAGUCAGAUGUGAAAGCCUUCUGUUCAACGGAAGAAUUGCAUCUGAAACUGCAAACCUUGAGUAUAGGAGGGGAGAAUGGAACUUCUGGUGGAGCGGUGAAAUGCGUAGAUAUCAGAAGGAACGCCGGCGGCGAAAGCGAUUCUCUGGCCUGUUACUGACACUGAGUGUGCGAAAGCUAGGGGAGCAAACGGGAUUAGAUACCCCGGUAGUCCUAGCCGUAAACGAUGGGCACUAAGUAGAGGGGUUUU